CCAUUGCUCCUCGUUCGAGCGCCAUUUGAGAGAGAGAGAGAGAGAGAGAGAGAGAGAGAUCCAAAGAGGAAGCUUCUGUAGGGUUUCCUCUUCUUCGAUUCGAUCGCUAGGGUUUCGUCUUCUUCGAUCGCCGCCGCCUCGGAUUCGCUUGGUGCAGGUCGGGAACGCCCUCGGAUCGCCGCCGCCGCCCCGUGAUCGCGCCCGCGUUCCCGCCUUGCACCAACUGAAUCGGAGCCGGAAACGCGAUUCCUCCGCCGCCGCCGCGGAUCUCUGGCUCGUUUGGAGCUCAGAUCCGAAUCGGAGAGAGAGGGGAGGAGAAUGAAAAGUCGAUUGGAAAAUGGAGCAAAUUUGGAAUUUGAUAGUCGGUGAAUUCACAGCCACAGGCAAAUCAAAAAGUUUUAAGUGUGCACACGCCCUGUAUGCAAAGAGAUUUUGAUUGUACACCAUUCACAAAGCUUGGCAAGUAGUUAUUGUCGUUGCUUCC
Long non-coding RNA from Ananas comosus (pineapple), 484 nucleotides. RefSeq lists it as uncharacterized. The record is from RefSeq and is a predicted model, not a curated record. The transcript is spliced from 2 exons. Lineage: Eukaryota; Viridiplantae; Streptophyta; Magnoliopsida; Poales; Bromeliaceae.